Molecule: long non-coding RNA, 578 nt
Filed under: Eucalyptus grandis
Lineage: Eukaryota; Viridiplantae; Streptophyta; Magnoliopsida; Myrtales; Myrtaceae
Description: long non-coding RNA (EGRA_LNC001801)
Source: RNAcentral
CAAAUCACGCACAAAUCGGAUCAAUCCGACGGCGGCGACGCGAGGAACAAUUCUUCCCUAAGCGGGCCUCGGGUUCGGGGCCCGGAAACGGCCCAAAACGGCCUUGAACAGUGCUGGAAACCCAUUUUUCCAGCCACUGUUCUUGGCUGGAUGAAGCUUGUCCGGCGGCUAAGGCGGCGAGGGGAGGCCGGCGGAGGGUGAGGGGAGCUCCGGCGGGUCCGAACGGUGGCCGGACGGAGCUGGGUGGCGGCCGGAGGUGGCCGGAUCGUGGCCGGUGCUAGCCAAGAUGGAGCUGAACAGAGGCGGAACAAAGGCUGGACAGCAGCUCGGUCGGCAACUGCAGACAGCGCACGGCGGGCAAGCGAGAGGCGAACAGCGGCGAGGCGGCGUGCGGCGCGAUUGCAGCUCCUUCAAGCAACGCCGAUCGUUGCUUCUGCUCCUGCUGGUCGGUUCUGUUCGAACCAGAGGAAGGAGAGAGGGGCGAGGCUAUGCACGGGCAGUAGGACGGCAGACGGCGGCGACUUCGGCUCCGGUUGCUUGCUGCAUCGGCGCCGAGAGAAAUCGCUGCUUCGGCUUGC